RNAcentral lists this ribosomal RNA (630 nucleotides) under Staphylococcus aureus. RNAcentral describes it as "bacterial SSU rRNA". It matches the Rfam family "Bacterial small subunit ribosomal RNA", at positions 196 to 814 of the family's 1533-position model. The record is from RNAcentral. Lineage: Bacteria; Bacillati; Bacillota; Bacilli; Caryophanales; Staphylococcaceae.
AAAAGUGAAAGACGGUCUUGCUGUCACUUAUAGAUGGAUCCGCGCUGCAUUAGCUAGUUGGUAAGGUAACGGCUUACCAAGGCAACGAUGCAUAGCCGACCUGAGAGGGUGAUCGGCCACACUGGAACUGAGACACGGUCCAGACUCCUACGGGAGGCAGCAGUAGGGAAUCUUCCGCAAUGGGCGAAAGCCUGACGGAGCAACGCCGCGUGAGUGAUGAAGGUCUUCGGAUCGUAAAACUCUGUUAUUAGGGAAGAACAUAUGUGUAAGUAACUGUGCACAUCUUGACGGUACCUAAUCAGAAAGCCACGGCUAACUACGUGCCAGCAGCCGCGGUAAUACGUAGGUGGCAAGCGUUAUCCGGAAUUAUUGGGCGUAAAGCGCGCGUAGGCGGUUUUUUAAGUCUGAUGUGAAAGCCCACGGCUCAACCGUGGAGGGUCAUUGGAAACUGGAAAACUUGAGUGCAGAAGAGGAAAGUGGAAUUCCAUGUGUAGCGGUGAAAUGCGCAGAGAUAUGGAGGAACACCAGUGGCGAAGGCGACUUUCUGGUCUGUAACUGACGCUGAUGUGCGAAAGCGUGGGGAUCAAACAGGAUUAGAUACCCUGGUAGUCCACGCCGUAAACGAUGAGU